GGGGGGGGGGGGGGGGGGGGUGGGCGGGGGGGGGGGGGGGGGGGGGGGGCGGGUGUUGGGGGGUGGUGGAGUGGCGAGCGGGGGCGUGACCCGUGAGUGACCUGCCCUUGACUUGGGGCUAACUUCCGGAGCCUGGGGCUAAUACCGGAUCGGAGCUCCGGCUGCAUGGUGGGGGUUGGACAGUUUCGGCGGUUGGGGAUGGCCUCGCGGCUUCUCAGCUUGUUGGUGGGGUAGUGGCUUACCAAGGCGUUGACGGGUAGCCGGCCUGAGAGGGUGACCGGCCACAUUGGGACUGAGAUACGGCCCAGACUCCUACGGGAGGCAGCAGGGGGGAAUAUUGCACAAUGGGCGGAAGCCUGAUGCAGCAACGCCGCGUGCGGGAUGACUGCCUUCGGGGUGUAAACCGCUUUCGCCUGUGACGAAGCGUGAGUGACGGUAAUGGGUAAAGAAGCACCGGCUAACUACGUG
This 468-nucleotide ribosomal RNA is filed under the name uncultured bacterium. RNAcentral's name for it is "partial 16S ribosomal RNA". It matches the Rfam family "Bacterial small subunit ribosomal RNA", at positions 39 to 507 of the family's 1533-position model. The record is from RNAcentral.